Molecule: ribosomal RNA, 500 nt
Filed under: uncultured bacterium
Lineage: Bacteria
Description: partial 16S ribosomal RNA
Rfam family: Bacterial small subunit ribosomal RNA
Source: RNAcentral
AUUGAACGCUGGCGGCAUGCCUUACACAUGCAAGUCGAACGGCAGCACGGGAGCAAUCCUGGUGGCGAGUGGCGAACGGGUGAGUAAAGUAUCGGAACGUGCCCAGUCGUGGGGGAUAACGUAGCGAAAGUUACGCUAAUACCGCAUACGAUCUAUGGAUGAAAGCGGGGGAUCGCAAGACCUCGCGCGAUUGGAGCGGCCGAUAUCAGAUUAGGUAGUUGGUGGGGUAAAGGCCCACCAAGCCAACGAUCUGUAGCUGGUCUGAGAGGACGACCAGCCAAACUGGAACUGGAACACGGUCCAGACUCCUACGGGAGGCAGCAGUGGGGAAUUUUGGACAAGGGGCGAAAGCCUGAUCCAGCCAUUCCGCGUGCAGGAUGAAGGCCCUCGGGUUGUAAACUGCUUUUGUACAGAACGAAAAGGUUUCUACUAAUACUAGGAGCUCAUGACGGUACUGUAAGAAUAAGCACCGGCUAACUACGUGCCAGCCGCCGCGGUAA